This 102-nucleotide small RNA is filed under the name Marmota marmota marmota (Alpine marmot). Its description in RNAcentral is "Small nucleolar RNA U3". It matches the Rfam family "Small nucleolar RNA U3", at positions 1 to 108 of the family's 219-position model. From Rfam's summary of the family: Small nucleolar RNAs (snoRNAs) are involved in the processing and modification of rRNA in the nucleolus. RNAcentral also lists the same sequence under 1 other name. Lineage: Eukaryota; Metazoa; Chordata; Mammalia; Rodentia; Sciuridae. The record is from Rfam by way of RNAcentral.
AAGACUAUACUUUCAGGGAUCAUUUCUAUAGUAUGUUACUAAGAUCAAAGGUAGCUGAGAGAAUUAACAAACUAGAAGACGAAACUAAAGAAAUUACUCAGA